This 3447-nucleotide unclassified non-coding RNA is filed under the name Leishmania donovani. RNAcentral describes it as "gene:LdHU3.23.1770(CDS-product:hypothetical_prote in_conserved)". The record is from RNAcentral. Lineage: Eukaryota; Euglenozoa; Kinetoplastea; Trypanosomatida; Trypanosomatidae.
UACUUUGUCACAUUUGCCUUCCUUUUUGACCGCUUCGCCGUCUUUCUCUCUUUUUUUCCGAUCGUUUCCCCCGACUUCCGGUGAUCAUGCGAGAGCACCCUGCUCGACGAAGGUCAUGCGCCGCUCCGGCCCGUCGAUAUGCACAACGCUGUCGUUGAUCGGCAGCAACGACGAAGUGGUGGAGGAGAUGUGCCGGCGUUUCUCUUCCGAAAUCGGCUCUACACCGUCACGGGUGCUCCCUCACCCCUCCUAGCAUCGUCUUCAUCUCCGCUGCUCUACUUCAUAUAGCUCCAACGGACUCCUUUCGUUAGCGGUCACCUCGGGAAGAAUCGAUACUCCCGACUAUGAACACCAAUGCGAAGAUUAUGCGUUAUGCCACCGUCGCCGAGUUUUCGCUGAGGCGCCUGUGGAUAGCACUGUGCUGAUGCUGUACUCGCCGGACGAUGCUGGGGAGCGGUUCUGCUACAGCGACGCGACGGUCGGGGGCAGCGGCGUGGAGCGGGAGUUCCUGCGCGUGGCGGCGUCGUACGUGGCGUCGCCGCACGAGGGGCCGAGGAGCGCGUACUACGACUUCUUCGCUGCGCACAACGCGACGCUGUGGACCGUGGACAGCGCGACGCGCGUUGCGACGCCGAUGCAGCUGGACAUUGUGUACACGUUCGUGAACCCGAGGGCGCCGUCGUUCUGGCGCAACCUUGAGGCGCGGCACGUGCGGUUCGAGCAGCGGCGGUACCGCGACUGGGAGGAGCUGCGGUACUCGCUGCGGUCGCUGCGCGAGUUCGUGCUUGCGAGCGGCGCGCUUGCGCAGUACCACCACCGCCACGCUGCGGACGUGCGGCGGCUGGGUGAGCUUGGGUACCAGGUGAACAUGAGCGACGCUGGCGCGGCAGAUGGGGUUGUGUCGCUGGUGCGGCGCGUGUACCUUGUGCUCUCUGACAGGGACCAGGUGCCUGCGUGGCUUGACACGGAGAGGUUCCCGGAGCUGCGCGUGGUGACGCAUGCGGAUAUGUUCAGCGCUGAUGAGGCGGCGUGGGUGCUGCCGACGCUGAACUCGAACGUGAUAGAGUCCGGGCUGCAUCGCAUUCCGGGCAUCUCGCGCUUUUUCCUCUACAUGGCAAACGACAUGAUGCUGGGACGGCAAGUCUCCUUCUUCGACCUGUUCCGCCCUCUGUCGCCGCUUCGCCAGCGUCUACACGUGUACCAUCUCAGUCGGGGCAGCGAGGGGUCGACAAACGCUUCACUCGCGUCGAAUGGGACCGGACGCGUCGCAUUGCUGCUGGAGCCGGUGGUCCACAGCGACACGCAGUACAUGGAGGCGAAGGGAGAGAUGACCAGCUCGGAGCGAGUGCAGGUCAUGCGUGCCCGCGAGGCAGUCAGCAGCUGCAUGCUUCAGCAGGUGCUCCCCGUUCUGUAUGCGAAGGGGCGCAGUGGCGAGUGGCUGGAAAAGGCAGUCCUCUUGCCCUCAUGGGCGACGACGCGGGCGUUUGCGUUGCCCGAUCCGCAUUAUGACGUGACGCCGCGUGGAUGCGGCGUGAGUAGCCAUUACUACUACCAUUUAUCGUCGAUUCGUCUCGAAGGCAUCGGACUCCCAUUUGGGUAUGCCCAUAGCCCGCAGCUGGUGGACGUUGAGGUGUACCGGCGUCUGAAUGAGGUGGAGCUCUUCGACUUCACCAACACCACCCGCGCCGCGUACGAACGCGAGAUGCACCCGUACUCCCCUAUCGAUGAGUAUGCAGUCUUUGAGGUGGCGAUGAUGCGUGGGAUGGAGCGGCACCUGUGGAGCUCUGUGUGGCGCGCCGCGCCGGCCGACGCGUUCACGGACGUGCGCGACACGCUCGAGUCUUGGUGGGCUGCCAACGUUCUAAGCGACCCGAUGGACGCUGCUCGACGUGUGUCGUGGCGUCUGUCUAGCGGCAGCGCGGACAUGUCGAUGUUUGGCGCGCUGUACGGCGACACUUGGGGCGUGCAGCUGCAGCGGCCGGACCUUGCCAUGGAGCUUGGGUACUGGUGGGUGCGCGGUGCGGUGCGGCCGUUGCGGCCGAGCCGACGGCUUGCAGCGCUGAAGAAGCUGUACGCGAUCCCUGAGGUGGGGACUGGCGACACGUGCGGCAGCGAGUCGCCGUUGUGGGCGGCGAGGAGCGACGACCACUACUACAGCCUGCUAUACGACAUGUUCCACCACACGCGGCACGACGAGACGUUUCUGUUCGAGAUGAUUUAUAGCGACAUGAAGGCUCUGCUGCUUGCGGCGCGCCUAAGGUACGAGUGGCUGAGGCAUCCGCUGUUCAUGGGCUUCAACGACAACAUUUUAGACGACGCCAACCACACAGAGGUCCGGAUAGCUUUUCACAGGCUUCUGAGCAUAGCGAUCCAGAACGCACCGCCGGCCCCGUGGGAACUUUAAAAACCUGUGGGUGGCGGGUGCAACGAAGGGAUAGGAAGCCCAUGCCAGCGUGGAUCUGGUGAGCGUUGUAGAAGAGACAGCGAUAAAAGGCCGCCUACCCGCCUUUGCACCACGCUACUAACAACGACAAAAUUUUCUCCUUGUGUUAUUCGCCAUGAUGGCGACAUUCCUGUUCCUUUCCUUUUGUUCGUACAGCGUUAUCCCCGAAUCAUUUUGAUUGUUUCCAUUUCUCUGGCCUGACGGCGAGGGACACACCCAUCUCGGUGCGUGGUGUCUCAGGGUCCAGUGCCCCCACUCUGUGUGGGGAAGCCACGCAGCCCCCACCUAACCCCUGCCAAUGCCGAACCACCUCUGGUGGUGGCAUGGGCAAGCACCUACGAGCUGGGGGGUCAGAGCGCUUCAUCGCCACGGAUAUCGACGGUCGGGUCCUGGACGGCGGUGCGUCAGAGCGGGCUGCGACAGCGCACGCGUCCGUGCCACCCAUGUGAUGGACCGUGUGUCAGCGUGACUCGAGCUAUCCCACGCCGGGCCGUCGCACUGCCUGCUGCUGGGGAGCCUGCGCCAUCGCGAGGGAUGCACCAGGGGUGGCAACCGGCACGAUGGGAGCGACUGUGAGGCGACCUGGGAGGCGGGUGGGCGGGGUAUGAGGCAGCGGCCGUGCUCGCAGAUGACUGAGCCGGCGCACUGCCGUAGCGCGUGUGUACCGCUACUUCGCACCACGCGGGAUGGGCCUGUGGCAGGGCGGUUGGAAUGUGGACUGCGUUUGUUGUAAGGCUGGACGGACGCCUUGAAAAUAAUCUUCUCUCGUAAGUGGUCGAACACGGCGUUGAGUUUGUGACCACAUCUGUUUAUCGUGUGUCUGCUGAAUGUCAAGGGGCGGGCACGAAGGAAAAGAGGGGGCUGAGGCCGACGGCGCAAUGAAGUCGCUGAUAGUCAACUCCAUGACUGGCCGCAUGCCGGUCGCUUUUGGGUUCUCGUGUGUGCUGCGCUUGUUUCGCAAAAAAAAAAGGUCUCAUCGCCUGUGCCCCUUUUUUGUUAGGAAG